CAGUCGCCACGGGAAUACGUAGGGUGCGAGCGUUAAUCGGAAUUACUGGGCGUAAAGCGUGCGCAGGCGGUUGUGUAAGACAGGUGUGAAAUCCCCGGGCUUAACCUGGGAACUGCGCUCGUGACUGCACAGCUAGAGUAUAGCAGAGGGGGGUGGAAUUCCACGUGUAGCAGUGAAAUGCGUAGAGAUGUGGAGGAACACCGAUGGCGAAGGCAGCCCCCUGGGCCAAUACUGACGCUCAUGCACGAAAGCGUGGGGAGCAAACAGGAUUAGAUACCCCGUAGUCCCUGUCUCUUAUACC
RNAcentral lists this ribosomal RNA (301 nucleotides) under uncultured bacterium. RNAcentral describes it as "partial 16S ribosomal RNA". It matches the Rfam family "Bacterial small subunit ribosomal RNA", at positions 509 to 808 of the family's 1533-position model. The record is from RNAcentral.